RNAcentral lists this ribosomal RNA (2930 nucleotides) under Escherichia coli O80:H26. RNAcentral describes it as "23S ribosomal RNA". It matches the Rfam family "Bacterial large subunit ribosomal RNA". Lineage: Bacteria; Pseudomonadati; Pseudomonadota; Gammaproteobacteria; Enterobacterales; Enterobacteriaceae. The record is from RNAcentral.
GGGUUGUGAGGUUAAGCGACUAAGCGUACACGGUGGAUGCCCUGGCAGUCAGAGGCGAUGAAGGACGUGCUAAUCUGCGAUAAGCGUCGGUAAGGUGAUAUGAACCGUUAUAACCGGCGAUUUCCGAAUGGGGAAACCCAGUGUGUUUCGACACACUAUCAUUAACUGAAUCCAUAGGUUAAUGAGGCGAACCGGGGGAACUGAAACAUCUAAGUACCCCGAGGAAAAGAAAUCAACCGAGAUUCCCCCAGUAGCGGCGAGCGAACGGGGAGCAGCCCAGAGCCUGAAUCAGUGUGUGUGUUAGUGGAAGCGUCUGGAAAGGCGCGCGAUACAGGGUGACAGCCCCGUACACAAAAAUGCACAUGCUGUGAGCUCGAUGAGUAGGGCGGGACACGUGGUAUCCUGUCUGAAUAUGGGGGGACCAUCCUCCAAGGCUAAAUACUCCUGACUGACCGAUAGUGAACCAGUACCGUGAGGGAAAGGCGAAAAGAACCCCGGCGAGGGGAGUGAAAAAGAACCUGAAACCGUGUACGUACAAGCAGUGGGAGCACGCUUAGGCGUGUGACUGCGUACCUUUUGUAUAAUGGGUCAGCGACUUAUAUUCUGUAGCAAGGUUAACCGAAUAGGGGAGCCGAAGGGAAACCGAGUCUUAACUGGGCGUUAAGUUGCAGGGUAUAGACCCGAAACCCGGUGAUCUAGCCAUGGGCAGGUUGAAGGUUGGGUAACACUAACUGGAGGACCGAACCGACUAAUGUUGAAAAAUUAGCGGAUGACUUGUGGCUGGGGGUGAAAGGCCAAUCAAACCGGGAGAUAGCUGGUUCUCCCCGAAAGCUAUUUAGGUAGCGCCUCGUGAAUUCAUCUCCGGGGGUAGAGCACUGUUUCGGCAAGGGGGUCAUCCCGACUUACCAACCCGAUGCAAACUGCGAAUACCGGAGAAUGUUAUCACGGGAGACACACGGCGGGUGCUAACGUCCGUCGUGAAGAGGGAAACAACCCAGACCGCCAGCUAAGGUCCCAAAGUCAUGGUUAAGUGGGAAACGAUGUGGGAAGGCCCAGACAGCCAGGAUGUUGGCUUAGAAGCAGCCAUCAUUUAAAGAAAGCGUAAUAGCUCACUGGUCGAGUCGGCCUGCGCGGAAGAUGUAACGGGGCUAAACCAUGCACCGAAGCUGCGGCAGCGACGCUUAUGCGUUGUUGGGUAGGGGAGCGUUCUGUAAGCCUGUGAAGGUGUGCUGUGAGGCAUGCUGGAGGUAUCAGAAGUGCGAAUGCUGACAUAAGUAACGAUAAAGCGGGUGAAAAGCCCGCUCGCCGGAAGACCAAGGGUUCCUGUCCAACGUUAAUCGGGGCAGGGUGAGUCGACCCCUAAGGCGAGGCCGAAAGGCGUAGUCGAUGGGAAACAGGUUAAUAUUCCUGUACUUGGUGUUACUGCGAAGGGGGGACGGAGAAGGCUAUGUUGGCCGGGCGACGGUUGUCCCGGUUUAAGCGUGUAGGCUGGUUUUCCAGGCAAAUCCGGAAAAUCAAGGCUGAGGCGUGAUGACGAGGCACUACGGUGCUGAAGCAACAAAUGCCCUGCUUCCAGGAAAAGCCUCUAAGCAUCAGGUAACAUCAAAUCGUACCCCAAACCGACACAGGUGGUCAGGUAGAGAAUACCAAGGCGCUUGAGAGAACUCGGGUGAAGGAACUAGGCAAAAUGGUGCCGUAACUUCGGGAGAAGGCACGCUGAUAUGUAGGUGAAGUCCCUCGCGGAUGGAGCUGAAAUCAGUCGAAGAUACCAGCUGGCUGCAACUGUUUAUUAAAAACACAGCACUGUGCAAACACGAAAGUGGACGUAUACGGUGUGACGCCUGCCCGGUGCCGGAAGGUUAAUUGAUGGGGUCAGCGCAAGCGAAGCUCUUGAUCGAAGCCCCGGUAAACGGCGGCCGUAACUAUAACGGUCCUAAGGUAGCGAAAUUCCUUGUCGGGUAAGUUCCGACCUGCACGAAUGGCGUAAUGAUGGCCAGGCUGUCUCCACCCGAGACUCAGUGAAAUUGAACUCGCUGUGAAGAUGCAGUGUACCCGCGGCAAGACGGAAAGACCCCGUGAACCUUUACUAUAGCUUGACACUGAACAUUGAGCCUUGAUGUGUAGGAUAGGUGGGAGGCUUUGAAGUGUGGACGCCAGUCUGCAUGGAGCCGACCUUGAAAUACCACCCUUUAAUGUUUGAUGUUCUAACGUUGACCCGUAAUCCGGGUUGCGGACAGUGUCUGGUGGGUAGUUUGACUGGGGCGGUCUCCUCCUAAAGAGUAACGGAGGAGCACGAAGGUUGGCUAAUCCUGGUCGGACAUCAGGAGGUUAGUGCAAUGGCAUAAGCCAGCUUGACUGCGAGCGUGACGGCGCGAGCAGGUGCGAAAGCAGGUCAUAGUGAUCCGGUGGUUCUGAAUGGAAGGGCCAUCGCUCAACGGAUAAAAGGUACUCCGGGGAUAACAGGCUGAUACCGCCCAAGAGUUCAUAUCGACGGCGGUGUUUGGCACCUCGAUGUCGGCUCAUCACAUCCUGGGGCUGAAGUAGGUCCCAAGGGUAUGGCUGUUCGCCAUUUAAAGUGGUACGCGAGCUGGGUUUAGAACGUCGUGAGACAGUUCGGUCCCUAUCUGCCGUGGGCGCUGGAGAACUGAGGGGGGCUGCUCCUAGUACGAGAGGACCGGAGUGGACGCAUCACUGGUGUUCGGGUUGUCAUGCCAAUGGCACUGCCCGGUAGCUAAAUGCGGAAGAGAUAAGUGCUGAAAGCAUCUAAGCACGAAACUUGCCCCGAGAUGAGUUCUCCCUGACUCCUUGAGAGUCCUGAAGGAACGUUGAAGACGACGACGUUGAUAGGCCGGGUGUGUAAGCGCAGCGAUGCGUUGAGCUAACCGGUACUAAUGAACCGUGAGGCUUAACCUUACAACGCCGAAGCUGUU